Molecule: non-coding RNA, 213 nt
Organism: Vicia faba (fava bean)
Lineage: Eukaryota; Viridiplantae; Streptophyta; Magnoliopsida; Fabales; Fabaceae
Source: the annotation of a GenBank genome assembly
AUGUAUUUGUAUAGUAGAGAUGUAUCAAUAGUUUGUUCAGCGAAUUAUGGCCAUCCCCUGCAAUCUUCAAGCUUCUGUUUAUGGCUAUCGCCUAUGUUUAGCAAUGUGAUCCUCCUUUUCAUAACGUCACCAAAUAAACACGUCAACACAAGUAAUCUCAACCAUUCGUUUCCCAUUAAUCAAUUAUUGAAGAAAUUUUGGGAAGAAAUAUGA